This 21-nucleotide non-coding RNA is filed under the name Caenorhabditis elegans. Lineage: Eukaryota; Metazoa; Nematoda; Chromadorea; Rhabditida; Rhabditidae. The record is from RNAcentral.
UGUGCAAUGACUAUUUGCAGA